RNAcentral lists this ribosomal RNA (510 nucleotides) under uncultured bacterium. RNAcentral's name for it is "partial 16S ribosomal RNA". It matches the Rfam family "Bacterial small subunit ribosomal RNA", at positions 28 to 507 of the family's 1533-position model. The record is from RNAcentral.
GACGAACGCUGGCGGCGUGCUUAACACAUGCAAGUCGAACGAAGAGCGACGGAAGCUUGCUUCUAUCAAUCUUAGUGGCGAACGGGUGAGUAACGCGUAAUCAACCUGCCCUUCAGAGGGGGACAACAGUUGGAAACGACUGCUAAUACCGCAUACGAUCUAACCUCGGCAUCGAGGAUAGAUGAAAGGUGGCCUCUACAUGUAAGCUAUCACUGAAGGAGGGGAUUGCGUCUGAUUAGCUAGUUGGAGGGGUAACGGCCCACCAAGGCGAUGAUCAGUAGCCGGUCUGAGAGGAUGAACGGCCACAUUGGGACUGAGACACGGCCCAGACUCCUACGGGAGGCAGCAGUGGGGAAUCUUCCGCAAUGGACGAAAGUCUGACGGAGCAACGCCGCGUGAGUGAUGACGGCCUUCGGGUUGUAAAGCUCUGUUAAUCGGGACGAAAGGCCUUCUUGCGAAUAGUGAGGAGGAUUGACGGUACCGGAAUAGAAAGCCACGGCUAACUACGUG